This 549-nucleotide ribosomal RNA is filed under the name uncultured bacterium. RNAcentral describes it as "bacterial SSU rRNA". It matches the Rfam family "Bacterial small subunit ribosomal RNA", at positions 355 to 896 of the family's 1533-position model. The record is from RNAcentral.
UGGGGAAUAUUGGACAAUGGGCGAAAGCCUGAUCCAGCCAUGCCGCGUGUGUGAAGAAGGUCUUCGGAUUGUAAAGCACUUUAAGUUGGGAGGAAGGGCAGUAAGUUAAUACCUUGCUGUUUUGACGUUACCAACAGAAUAAGCACCGGCUAACUUCGUGCCAGCAGCCGCGGUAAUACGAAGGGUGCAAGCGUUAAUCGGAAUUACUGGGCGUAAAGCGCGCGUAGGUGGUUCAGCAAGUUGGAUGUGAAAUCCCCGGGCUCAACCUGGGAACUGCAUCCAAAACUACUGAGCUAGAGUACGGUAGAGGGUGGUGGAAUUUCCUGUGUAGCGGUGAAAUGCGUAGAUAUAGGAAGGAACACCAGUGGCGAAGGCGACCACCUGGACUGAUACUGACACUGAGGUGCGAAAGCGUGGGGAGCAAGCAGGAUUAGAUACCCUGGUAGUCCACGCCGUAAACGAUGUCGACUAGCCGUUGGGAUCCUUGAGAUCUUAGUGGCGCAGCUAACGCGAUAAGUCGACCGCCUGGGGAGUACGGCCGCAAGGUUA